UGUGUGGGACCUGUAGGCCGUGUGCGGCGGGCGCCGGGAAUCGUGUAUCUAGAAGGAAUUGGGAUUAUCUCACUCAUAUCCAACGUCCAGAAUCGCUCCCGCAUAGCAUGCGCCGUCGCCUUCGCCUCCCUGUUCCCUCACACCUGCGCCCACUAAUCACGCCGCCGCCGCACCCCCGACGCUUCUCUCCUCCUCUCACGCCGCUCCCCCCCUCCCCUAACCCUAUUUCGCCGCAGCGGCCGCCGCCUCAACCUGCCGGCGCCGCUGCCGAUCCAUCAUCGCCGGAACACCAUGGAGACGUCAUCAAGCGCGUCGUCUCGGCCGCUCACGCCGUCGCGCUCCCCUCUCCUUUGGCCGCUCGACCAUCGUCGCCAUCGCUGUCCAGUCCGCCGCUGCACGCCGGUCGAGAUCGGCCGCCCCUAGCCUCCAACAAACUCUGCGCCUCCCCUCUCCUUCCGCCGCUCAACCAUCGUCGCCACCGCCGUCCAGUCCGCCGCCCGUACGCCGGCCAGCGGCGGCGUGCGGCAACUCCGGUGUAGAUCGGGGUGGGCAAGAUCGUUGAGGGAUUUGGUGCGGGGAGAAACCCUAAUAUGAUGCCAAUGUAUUAUGUUUGAUCUUUUGUUUUGCUUGGGCAAGAUCGUUGAGGGAUUUGGUGUGGGGAGAAACCCUAAUCUGAUUCCAAUGUAUUCCGUUUGAUCUUUAGGCAUGGGUUGAGAUCGUCUUCGUUUGCUUGGCUGAUCAUUUCAAUCUCUGUGAGAAUUGUUGUGAACCUGGAUCUAGAGGAUUCAAUGGAUUGUGGAAGCUUAUGAAUAUCCAAAUGAAGGAUCUGGUUAUUGACGAUUUCAUGAAUCUGAACGUCUGGGUUUCCUUAGUGUUCUUCCCCUCCUGUAUGCCCACAACCCUUCAAGUAAUUGCCACCAGCAGACCUCUAUGCAGGCUGCAGCACGCCAGCAGGUAUUUUUUUAUUUUGGAUAUUUGAAUUUUUGUGCAGAUGUGAAGGAAUCAGUGGAUAGAUCUAGCUUGAAUGUUUGACUAUCUGUCAUUAGAUUUACACAGAAAUGAGAAACACAUGUAGCCUUUGAUGUAUAUGAUGUUCAUAGGUCAAGCUAUAUGCGAUAAGUUUUCUGAAGGAAGAUAAUAGCUCAAGUUAUUUUCUUCGUUAGAGAAGAUUUACAAAAAGUGCAGUUAACUUGCAUUUUCUGCUAGAGGAAUGUUAAUUGCAAUGUCUCCCUCAUGAUGCCUCCCUCAUGACCAACAAAGAUUUACAUUACUUUAGGUUAGCUUUGUAGGUCUCUUUAACUUUUCCCGAUUGCAUAUCCUUCUACAAUUUUGCAGGAAAAUCUGUAAGCAAUUGUCGCAGUGUAAAUAUUUUUAUCACAUUUAUUUUAAGGAAAACGAUUGCAAUUUGAAUUCCAAGACGCAUGAUCCCCACAACCACCACCACAACCAUCUGUUUCAACUCCAAGUGCAUAGCUGGGUAAGAUUGUAUAUAUUUCUGAAUUCUGUUGUAUAUUUGUGGUGCAAGUUCAAGUCCAAGUUCAACCAUCAGUUUCAGUUGAAUAGAAAAUUGAUUUUAAAAUGUAUAUUGUGAUGGAUUGUGCUUCUCAAAUAUCAACCCUCUCCUCCUGAACACAACUGUCAUCUAGGUAGGCUGCCUACUUUCUUCUUUUUCUCUUUAAUUUGCUCUCUUCAGCUGAUCUGAUCUGAUCUGGGUAAGGAGAAGAAGAAAUGGCUGGAGUCUUGGAAGUAACGAGGCCUGUACAACAAACCUUGCUAGAAGGCUCCUAUGACCUUUCCUUCUCUUUUACAAAUGCUUGUGCCUCUCCAGUUCACCAGUGAGGGAGAUUAUGAACUCAGGUAUGAGGUAAUCCCUGUGGUUUUGCUUCUUUUUCUGGACAUGCUUAUUUUCAUCUGUUUAGUAGCAAGCAAUAUUUAGGUAUGAGAAAGAAUGUGCCUUAAGUAACUGUCAAUGGUACACAUAAGCUGCUCAUUUACUCUUCUUUCCUGGUCAUAUUAUCAAUAUAGGUUAGUUCAUGCUCUUACUCCACGAAAAACAAAGUACAUGGUCUUACUAUUUAACUGUUUAAUAUUAUUCUGAAAAACACUACAGUAGCUACUCGGUUGUUCUAGGCAACUAAAUGCAACUUGAAGUAAGAAUACAAUCUACAUCCAUGUAAAACAGAUAAGUUGCUCCAAUAAACUAUAAAAACACCCAUGCAUCAUGGUGAUGAAAAGAGACAUAAGUGUUAGCUAUUAUUUUUUGUUUAAUCAUGAAAUUGAGUCUUUCUGAAACCAGAUCGAGCAAGCCAAAUGGGACUGCAUCAGAGGUAUGAUGAAAGUUUUCCACUUUUUGACAUCAAUUAUCAUCAAUUGCAUAUUAAUUUUUUUGUGCAGAGAUAUUAGAUCAGAUCCAAGAGAGUGCCAAAUCUGUCAUGUAGCUUUGGUCUAGAUUAUUGCACGUCUAUAAGCAGUAUAUCUAUGUACUAUAUAUUUCAUUUUUGGUGCUACCAUAUAAAUUAGACUGAAUAUAUGACUGAUUCUUUUAGCCCUCUGUUUUUGAGCAAAUAGCAUUUGUGCAGUGACCAGGUGUACUAUCUUCUUGAUUUGCUUGCAGUCUCCCAUUGUUUGCUGAGGCCAUUAGUACUCUUGCGUGGAUGGUGGUUCAAUUGAAUAAUUAGGAACUGCGGCACUGGACGAAAAGAGGAAUAGGCAGUAUUCCAUGAGGGUUGUUUGAGUUUUCUUCUAUUCUCUUCAAAAAGUUGUAACUCUUUAAUUAUAUUGUGCCAAACUUUUUCAUAUUGCCGGGAGCACAUUUGUAUGGCACCAAACUGUUCACCUAAGCAAAUGGUCCAAUAAUGAAUAAUAUGCCUUUUUGUGCUUUUUUAUUACAA
Molecule: non-coding RNA, 2891 nt
Organism: Oryza sativa Japonica Group (Japanese rice)
Lineage: Eukaryota; Viridiplantae; Streptophyta; Magnoliopsida; Poales; Poaceae
Source: RefSeq, a predicted model, not a curated record